GAUGAACGCUGGCGGCGUGCCUAAUACAUGCAAGUCGAGCGAACGGACGAGAAGCUUGCUUUUCUGAUGUUAGCGGCGGACGGGUGAGUAACACGUGGAUAACCUACCUAUAAGACUGGGAUAACUUCGGGAAACCGGAGCUAAUACCGGAUAAUAUUUUGAACCGCAUGGUUCAUAAGUGAAAGACGGUCUUGCUGUCACUUAUAGAUGGAUCCGCGCUGCAUUAGCUAGUUGGUAAGGUAACGGCUUACCAAGGCAACGAUGCAUAGCCGACCCGAGAGGGUGAUCGGCCACACUGGAACUGAGACACGGUCCAGACUCCUACGGGAGGCAGCAGUAGGGAAUCUUCCGCAAUGGGCGAAAGCCUGACGGAGCAACGCCGCGUGAGUGAUGAAGGUCUUCGGAUCGUAAAACUCUGUUAUUAGGGAAGAACAUAUGUGUAAGUAACUGUGCACAUCUUGACGGUACCUAAUCAGAAAGCCACGGCUAACUACGUG
This 497-nucleotide ribosomal RNA is filed under the name uncultured bacterium. RNAcentral describes it as "partial 16S ribosomal RNA". It matches the Rfam family "Bacterial small subunit ribosomal RNA", at positions 28 to 507 of the family's 1533-position model. The record is from RNAcentral.